GGUGAGUAGCGAACCGAAAGGGGAGCGACCCGUCAAAUCGGGCCAUCACAC
RNAcentral lists this ribosomal RNA (51 nucleotides) under uncultured organism. RNAcentral's name for it is "partial 16S ribosomal RNA". The record is from RNAcentral.